UUACGGUCAUAUCACAUUGAAACACCGUUUCCCGUACGAUCAUCGAAGUUAAGCAACGGCGAUACUGUUCAGUACCUAGAUGGAUGACCCCUUGGGAAUACCUUGUACAGUAA
Molecule: non-coding RNA, 113 nt
Organism: Acanthosepion pharaonis
Lineage: Eukaryota; Metazoa; Mollusca; Cephalopoda; Sepiida; Sepiidae
Source: the annotation of a GenBank genome assembly